GGAUGUGAGGGCGAUCUGGCUGCGACAUCUGUCACCCCAUUGAUCGCCAGGGUUGAUUCGGCUGAUCUGGCUGGCUAGGCGGGUGUCCCCUUCCUCCCUCAGUGAUCCACGUGCAUCCCUUCCGAAGUUGCGGGCUCGGUGGAAGAGGAUGACCACCCCCGAUAGAGGAGGACGGUUCCUCGGUCAAGGGUAUACGAGCAGCUGCUAGAACCUCCAAACAAGCUCUCAAGGAUGAGCUUGCUUCCUACCAAGGCAUGUGAACAGUUUCUGAAGAGAGCUCUUCAG
RNAcentral lists this small nuclear RNA (285 nucleotides) under Octodon degus (degu). RNAcentral's name for it is "7SK RNA (ENSODEG00000024045.1)". It matches the Rfam family "7SK RNA". Rfam says of the family: 7SK was discovered as an abundant small nuclear RNA in the mid-70s but a possible function has only recently been suggested. Two independent studies have found that 7SK RNA binds the CDK9/cyclin T complex (known as elongation factor P-TEFb). Lineage: Eukaryota; Metazoa; Chordata; Mammalia; Rodentia; Octodontidae. The record is from Rfam by way of RNAcentral.